GGCACACGGGGGCUUACGGAGAGCGCAGCAGUGGAAUAUUUUGCACAAGGGGGGAAACCCUGAUCCAGCAAUGCCGCGUGUGAAGAGAAGGCCUUCGGGUUGUAAAGCACUUCAGUCAGGGAAGAAAUCCUUUGGUUUAAUACCCUAGGGGGAUGACGGUACCUGAAGAAUAAGCACGGGCUAAUUACGUGCCAGCAGCCGCGGUAAUACGUAGGGUGCAAGCGUUAUUGGGAAUUAUUGGGGGUAAAGCGUGGGCAGGGGUUUGUUUAAGACAAGUGUGAAAUCCCCGGGUUUACCUUGGGAAUUCCAUUUGAGAUUGCAGGAUUAGAUUGUGUCAGAGGGGGGUGAAAUUCCAGGGGUAGCAGUGAAAGGGGUGGAUUUGGGGAGGAACUCCAAUGGGGAAGGCAGCCCCUGGGGAUAACAUUGACGUUCAUGCAGGAAAGGUUGGGGAGCAACCAGGAUUAAUUACCUUGGUAGUCCACCCCU
This 486-nucleotide ribosomal RNA is filed under the name uncultured Limnobacter sp. Its description in RNAcentral is "bacterial SSU rRNA". It matches the Rfam family "Bacterial small subunit ribosomal RNA", at positions 321 to 802 of the family's 1533-position model. The record is from RNAcentral. Lineage: Bacteria; Pseudomonadati; Pseudomonadota; Betaproteobacteria; Burkholderiales; Burkholderiaceae.